UACAGAGGUCUCAAGCGUUGUUCGGAUUCAUUGGGCGUAAAGGGCGCGUAGGCGGCUCGCUAAGUUGGAUGUGAAAACUCUGGGCUUAACCCAGAGCCUGCAUCCAAAACUGGCAAGCUUGAGUACUGGAGGGGAAAGCGGAAUUCCUGGUGUAGCGGUGAAAUGCGUAGAUAUCAGGAGGAACACCGGUGGCGAAGGCGGCUUUCUGGACAGUAACUGACGCUGAGGCGCGAAAGCUAGGGGAGCAAACAGG
Molecule: ribosomal RNA, 253 nt
Filed under: uncultured bacterium
Lineage: Bacteria
Description: partial 16S ribosomal RNA
Rfam family: Bacterial small subunit ribosomal RNA
Source: RNAcentral